CGGACGAGAAGCUUGCUUCUCUGAUGUUAGCGGCGGACGGGUGAGUAACACGUGGAUAACCUACCUAUAAGACUGGGAUAACUUCGGGAAACCGGAGCUAAUACCGGAUAAUAUUUUGAACCGCAUGGUUCAAAAGUGAAAGACGGUCUUGCUGUCACUUAUAGAUGGAUCCGCGCUGCAUUAGCUAGUUGGUAAGGUAACGGCUUACCAAGGCAACGAUGCAUAGCCGACCUGAGAGGGUGAUCGGCCACACUGGAACUGAGACACGGUCCAGACUCCUACGGGAGGCAGCAGUAGGGAAUCUUCCGCAAUGGGCGAAAGCCUGACGGAGCAACGCCGCGUGAGUGAUGAAGGUCUUCGGAUCGUAAAACUCUGUUAUUAGGGAAGAACAUAUGUGUAAGUAACUGUGCACAUCUUGACGGUACCUAAUCAGAAAGCCACGGCUAACUACGUGCCAGCAGCCGCGGUAAUACGUAGGUGGCAAGCGUUAUCCGGAAUUAUUGGGCGUAAAGCGCGCGUAGGCGGUUUUUUAAGUCUGAUGUGAAAGCCCACGGCUCAACCGUGGAGGGUCAUUGGAAACUGGAAAACUUGAGUGCAGAAGAGGAAAGUGGAAUUCCAUGUGUAGCGGUGAAAUACGCAGAGAUAUGGAGGAACACCAGUGGCGAAGGCGACUUUCUGGUCUGUAACUGACGCUGAUGUGCGAAAGCGUGGGGAUCAAACAGGAUUAGAUACCCUGGUAGUCCACGCCGUAAACGAUGAGUGCUAAGUGUUAGGGGGUUUCCGCCCCUUAGUGCUGCAGCUAACGCAUUAAGCACUCCGCCUGGGGAGUACGACCGCAAGGUUG
Molecule: ribosomal RNA, 844 nt
Filed under: uncultured Staphylococcus sp.
Lineage: Bacteria; Bacillati; Bacillota; Bacilli; Caryophanales; Staphylococcaceae
Description: bacterial SSU rRNA
Rfam family: Bacterial small subunit ribosomal RNA
Source: RNAcentral